Molecule: long non-coding RNA, 1604 nt
Organism: Lolium rigidum
Lineage: Eukaryota; Viridiplantae; Streptophyta; Magnoliopsida; Poales; Poaceae
Exons: 3
Source: RefSeq, a predicted model, not a curated record
CUUAAAAAGACUAAAGUGAUUCCUUAUUCUGCCAUCCCAAUCCCAAUACGUCAAACUUUUGGUCGUCUCGUGUUACUCCCGUCCCGCACGGACCUAGCUGGGCCGCUCCAACAUGGGCCACGCUGCACGGCAUGAUCAUCACAUCACCGCCCACACGCCAAGAUCCGUCCGCCGCCGCAUUCCAAGGCGUCUCCGUCUGUCCUCCGCGUCCGCUGCAGACUCCCCACAGCCCGCCCACCCGUGUGGAUCUCGGCUCCCGACGCCGGUGUGGGGGGAUUCCGUAUCGCGCCCCGAGCCGCCGCCUGCCUGCUUGCCGCCGCGAAUCGUCUCCUUCCAUGGGGCCGCCGCCGGGGCUCCGAUUCCGGGUCUGAUUCUCUGCCUUCUUCUAUCCAGUUUCUCUCUGCCGCCGGGUCGAUUUGGGAUCCGUCCGAUCGAGAUUGCUCCGUGAAGUUUUUGGUCCUAGGGAUAUUUUUUGAUUCGCCCCAGAUCAGGAAUAGAGGGUUCUUCUCUGCUCUUUGGGGAGGGAACAGGGAGAUCUAGGGUUGUCGUCUUCUUCUACCUAUCCAUCCAUCGUUCGUUCUCUUGUUCUUCAUAUUCCAUCCAUCAAUCCAUAGAAAAACACAAAAAAAAGAGGAGUAGCAGUAGUAGUAGGGGAUUGAUUAUUUUGGAAGAGGCCAUCUUGGCGGAAUGAAUUAUUGAGCUGACCUCGCUGACGAGGAUAAUGGAUAGGCUGGCGAAGAAGGCGUCGAAGAGGCCCAGCUCUGCGUCCUGCUCCGCCCACGCGGCGCCGUCUUUGGCCUCCCGCGCCGUGUGCACGAACAUCUGGGAAGCAACAGUACAGAAGGGGAGAUGCCUCGGUGUGUGAGAGACCAACAACAACCCAAUCCCCCACCAGGAAAAAAAAGGCAGGGGUAGUGGUAUUAGGGAAGAGGGCGUGAGCUCUUACUUUGGUUCGGCGGUCGAGGUGGACGGUGGCGUUCCCGGCGGUGCCAUCCACCGCGCCCUGCUUGAUUGUUUUGCCGGUUGAUAUCUUGGCUGGAGCGUUUGGAAUCGGCCCUCGCAGGGGAUGAUGGCUGAAAAAAAAAGGAACCGGGAAGAUGUCAAGGUAGGUGACGGUGAGGCUGGCGUUGGUGCCCUGGAGCGCACUCAGACUUUUUGAACUAUCAAAGUCAUAGUAGCAUCAGGAUUCAGGACACGUGUUCCUUGAUGGUUGGGUGCUUGCAGUUUCAGUUUUUGUUGGCAUAUCAUGUGGAAAAAUAGGGUCUGGGAAAAUAUCAUGAGUAUGCCACAGAAGGAGAAGCUGCCGUAGGGAUUGACCGACCAUGACACCAGCUCCUCCUCCCACAGCAGACCUCGAACAUUCGAGAGCUCUGACACGCAGCCACGGCGCCGUGCAUCCUGCCUACAUGGAUGUUCCUGCCAUUUUUGUAAGUACAAGUUAUUUCUGGAGGCAAAUGUGCUGGAAAGAAGUGACAAUCGAACUAUCAUCAACACAUUGAUUAUAUUUAGCAUAAGUAACUGUUUUGGAGAAAAAAUUGGUGGAUCAAAUAGCAUUCAGAUUUAGACAUUUUGUGUGCAUAAGAAAAGCUAUGCAUUGGUGGUUA